Molecule: ribosomal RNA, 897 nt
Filed under: Phoma sp.
Lineage: Eukaryota; Fungi; Ascomycota; Dothideomycetes; Pleosporales; Didymellaceae
Description: LSU rRNA
Rfam family: Eukaryotic large subunit ribosomal RNA
Source: RNAcentral
UCAAUAAGCGGAGGAAAAUGAAACCAGCAGGGAUGCCGUAACGGCGAGUGAAGCGGCAACAGCUCAAAUUUGAAAUCUGGCGUCUUUGGCGUCCGAGUUGUAAUUUGCAGAGGGCGCUUUGGCGUUGGCAGCGGUCCAAGUUCCUUGGAACAGGACGUCACAGAGGGUGAGAAUCCCGUACGUGGUCGCUGGCCUUCGCCGUGUAAAGCCCCUUCGACGAGUCGAGUUGUUUGGGAAUGCAGCUCUAAAUGGGAGGUAAAUUUCUUCUAAAGCUAAAUACUGGCCAGAGACCGAUAGCGCACAAGUAGAGUGAUCGAAAGAUGAAAAGCACUUUGGAAAGAGAGUCAAACAGCACGUGAAAUUGUUAAAAGGGAAGCGCUUGCAACCAGACUUGCCUGCAGUUGCUCAUCUGGACUUUUGUCCAGUGCAUUCUUCUGUAGGCAGGCCAGCAUCAGUUUGGGCGGUUAGAUAAAGGUCUCUGUCAUGUACCUCUCUUCGGGGAGAACUUAUAGGGGAGACGACAUGUAACCAGCCUGGACUGAGGUCCGCGCAUUUGCUAGGAUGCUGGCGUAAUGGUUGUAAGCGGCCCGUCUUGAAACACGGACCAAGGAGUCUAACAUCUAUGCGAGUGUUUGGGUGUCAAGCCCGAACGCGUAAUGAAAGUGAACGGAGGUGGGAACCCGCAAGGGUGCACCAUCGACCGAUCCUGAUGUCUUCGGAUGGAUCUGAGUAAGAGCAUAGCUGUUGGGACCCGAAAGAUGGUGAACUAUGCUUGAAUAGGGUGAAGCCAGAGGAAACUCUGGUGGAGGCUCGCAGCGGUUCUGACGUGCAAAUCGAUCGUCAAAUUUGGGCAUAGGGGAACGACUAGUCUAACUAUCUACGUAGCUGGUUCCUGCU